RNAcentral lists this long non-coding RNA (909 nucleotides) under Monodelphis domestica (gray short-tailed opossum). RNAcentral's name for it is "lncRNA (ENSMODG00000032935.2)". The record is from RNAcentral. Lineage: Eukaryota; Metazoa; Chordata; Mammalia; Didelphimorphia; Didelphidae.
UUCAUGGCUUGUCUUCUGCUUCUCUGCAGGGCAUCCUCUGAAAUGCUCCCAGCCUUUGGCAAGAGAAGGAAGGAGGCCCAAACCAGUCCCUGAGCCAGAGGCAGAACUCCGUCAUCUUCUCUCCUAGCAACUUGAAAUUGAUGGUGUUGACAUGAGGUCCUACAGGACAGUGCCCUCUGCCCACUUGGGCUCCCAGCCAUGCCCAGAAGGCUCCAUGAUGUCAGCUGCAAAACAGUCAACAAUCACAUGUACCCACCCCUAAACACUGAGACCCUAAAGUGACUCUUGUAAUCCAAGAGAUGAGUUUUGGCCCCAAUCUAGGCCAAUAUCCGCCGACUUUCCCCUGAGUCCCCUGAACAGACUUCGAGGAGGGCUUUCUCUUGAUCAGCUCUCCCCAGAUCCUCACAACCUCCAGGACCCUCCGUUUGAAAGCGGAGCCCAUUGUCCUGGUUCUCUCCCCUCUUGAUUGUUACUGAUGGUGGGGACUUGUUCGGACACCUCUGGAAACACAAUCAUAAUCAGAGUGUCUUUCAUCUUUGGACUCUUUGGUUCCUGCUCACCCAUUACACUGAGUGAAUGAACUGAGGUGGCAUACUGGGGACUGUGCCCAGCCAGGACUGACCUCUUCAGGCCUCCGAUUCUGGCUCAGAGCAGCAGAGACCAAUUUCGUCAAGGCCUUCGUCUGGACAAGGGCUCACGCGACGCUACCCAGCCUGCGUGGCCCGCCCGGACCGUGAAGGGACAGUCCUCCCGGCUGCCUCUGGACACUACUCGGCCGCUAGGGUUCUCGCCACAGUCCUGCCCACAACCAUAAUGAAUGGAGGAAUGAACACGGCCGAGGUCCUGGAUUCUCGCUCAGCCUCGUCUCUGCCAGUGUGUCCUGGGCCAGAGGCGGAGCCCCAGCCCCAU